Molecule: ribosomal RNA, 496 nt
Filed under: uncultured bacterium
Lineage: Bacteria
Description: partial 16S ribosomal RNA
Rfam family: Bacterial small subunit ribosomal RNA
Source: RNAcentral
GAUGAACGCUGGCGGCGUGCCUAAUACAUGCAAGUCGAGCGAACGGACGAGAAGCUUGCUUCUCUGAUGUUAGCGGCGGACGGGUGAGUAACACGUGGAUAACCUACCUAUAAGACUGGGAUAACUUCGGGAAACCGGAGCUAAUACCGGAUAAUAUUUUGAACCGCAUGGUUCAAAAGUGAAAGACGGUCUUGCUGUCACUUAUAGAUGGAUCCGCGCUGCAUUAGCUAGUUGGUAAGGUAACGGCUUACCAAGGCAACGAUGCAUAGCCGACCUGAGAGGGUGAUCGGCCACACUGGAACUGAGACACGGUCCAGACUCCUACGGGAGGCAGCAGUAGGGAAUCUUCCGCAAUGGGCGAAAGCCUGACGGAGCAACGCCGCGUGAGUGAUGAAGGUCUUCGGAUCGUAAACUCUGUUAUUAGGGAAGGACAUAUGUGUAAGUAACUGUGCACAUCUUGACGGUACCUAAUCAGAAAGCCACGGCUAACUACGUG